Molecule: long non-coding RNA, 945 nt
Organism: Bos taurus (domestic cattle)
Lineage: Eukaryota; Metazoa; Chordata; Mammalia; Artiodactyla; Bovidae
Source: Ensembl
UGUGACUUUGAGGUCAGUUGUGACGGGCGCGCCAACGCGCAGGCGAGAGGAGCCACCCCACGUCCGAGGUCAGGGGCAGAAGCCGAGAGGACCCCAUGCUCGAAGGGCGGCGGCCGAGAGGAGUUACCCCACGUCUGAGGUCAGGGGCAGCGGCCGAGAGUACCAACUGCAACGGAGCAGGAACAGUGGAGAGGAGCUACCCCGCGUCGGAGGUCAGGGGCGGUGGCCGGGAGGAGAUACCCCACGCCCCAAGCCCAAGGCCAGGGGCGGCGGGCGGGCGGGAGGAGGAGCUACCCCACGCCCCUAAGCCCGAGACCAGGGACGGCGGCCAGGAAGAGCAACCGCACGCUCCCACACCCGAGGCCAGGGACGGCGGCCAGGAGGAGCAACCCCACGACCGAGGCCAGGGGCGGUGGCCAGGAGGACCAACCCCACGCCCAAGGAGCCGUGGAUGUGCGGGCGCAGGAGGGCCUAGAGGAGCUAUCCCACGUUGAAGGUCAGGAAGGGCUGCAGUGAGGAGAUACCCCUCGCCCAAGAAAGAAAGCAGAGAGACAACAGCAAUUGAGAGAUGUGGGAGCUGGAUGGAUAAGGGCUGGCUGCCUUAGCGAAAGGCCAGAGGAAGCUGAAAUAUAAUUCCUUAUCAAGGGAGUGGGGAGAAGGAGAGAGCAGUAUCAACAAGAAACAAGUCUACAUCUGCCUCAGAACCCAAGAACAGCUUAGGAAUGGGAGGUGCUGGAUACUUCUGAAGGUAGGUUGUCGGAUGGGCUAGAAGGGGAGGCCUGCGGGAAAGCAUAAGGAGCUAGACUCCUAAAUCUCCUCCUUCAACCUCUGCAGCCAGAUGACUGCCCUCUUCCAGCUUGUCAGGAGACUGAAUUGAGAGGCUAUGGAUAUGGGAACACUGGCACAGCUGAAAACAGGAGUGAUGGACUGUACUGUAAUCGGGGG